GUGCCAGCCGCCGCGGUAAUACGGAGGGUGCGAGCGUUAAUCGGAAUUACUGGGCGUAAAGCGCAUGCAGGUGGUUUGUUAAGUCAGAUGUGAAAGCCCGGGGCUCAACCUCGGAACCGCAUUUGAAACUGGCAGGCUAGAGUACUGUAGAGGGGGGUAGAAUUUCAGGUGUAGCGGUGAAAUGCGUAGAGAUCUGAAGGAAUACCAGUGGCGAAGGCGGCCCCCUGGACAGAUACUGACACUCAGAUGCGAAAGCGUGGGGAGCAAACAGGAUUAGAAACCCGAGUAGUCC
Molecule: ribosomal RNA, 292 nt
Filed under: uncultured bacterium
Lineage: Bacteria
Description: partial 16S ribosomal RNA
Rfam family: Bacterial small subunit ribosomal RNA
Source: RNAcentral